This is a long non-coding RNA of Daucus carota subsp. sativus, 543 nucleotides long. RefSeq lists it as uncharacterized. The transcript has 2 exons. Lineage: Eukaryota; Viridiplantae; Streptophyta; Magnoliopsida; Apiales; Apiaceae. The record is from RefSeq and is a predicted model, not a curated record.
GUCACUUUUCUACAACAUCUUGUAUUUUAAAUAUUCUAUGUUUUUGGCUGAGCAAAAUUUCCAAAAAUUCAAGGCAAUAAAUUAUAAAUUCUGAGGAGGACAAGGGGGGAGAGGAGAGCAAGCCAAUCUGCCCUAGCUGUCUAAAACACAAAUGGUCAGAUUCCAUUUAUCUCUACAUUAUUUUAUGUAAUCAAAUUGAGGGUGAUUCCAGACAGCCAGAUCAAUGUAGCUUUUCGAGCUGUCUCUGUGGAUCUCUCUGUCUCUUUGGUCAACCUUGAGCAGUUACCACACUGUGAUGUCCCAUGAAUUACGCUGGAAUUACUUGCUAUCACCGUUGUCCUUAGUUUCAGGCUUGAAAAAAAUGUAAUAGCAGUGGUACUAGUACCAUGAGAAUAAUCAAUAUUGCUCACCACAAUAACAAACAAUAUUAUCUAUUGUUAUCAGGAUCCGAGUCCUCAAGUACUUAGCAUACAGUAAGCACAGGAAAAACACCACCGCACAUGUUAAAUCUAAGUUUUUGAUAUAUAUCUCCUCUUUUUUUUA